UCUCCGUUGGUGAACCAGCGGAGGGAUCAUUACUGAGUGAGGGUCUCCGGGCCCGACCUCCAACCCUUUUGUGAACCACCUCGUUGCUUCGGGGGCGACCCUGCCGUUCGCGGCGCGGCGCCCCCGGGGGAAAUCAAACACUGCAUUCUCUGCGUCGGAGUAUUAGUAAAUCUAAUCAAAACUUUCAACAACGGAUCUCUUGGUUCUGGCAUCGAUGAAGAACGCAGC
This 228-nucleotide unclassified non-coding RNA is filed under the name uncultured fungus. RNAcentral describes it as "sequence contains ITS1, 5.8S rRNA gene". The stretch from base 180 to 228 matches the Rfam family "5.8S ribosomal RNA", at positions 1 to 49 of the family's 154-position model. Lineage: Eukaryota; Fungi. The record is from RNAcentral.